This is a long non-coding RNA of Ruditapes philippinarum (Manila clam), 636 nucleotides long. RefSeq lists it as uncharacterized. Lineage: Eukaryota; Metazoa; Mollusca; Bivalvia; Venerida; Veneridae. The transcript has 2 exons. The record is from RefSeq and is a predicted model, not a curated record.
UAGUUUUUAUAUGCCCGAAAGAAUUUCGGGCAUAUUAUGUUAUACCCCCUGGCGUCCGUCCGUCCGUCCGUCCGUCCGUCUGUCUAUCCGUCCGUCCGUCUGUCCGUCCGUCCGUUAGCAAUUUGGUUUCCGGAGCAUAACUUAAGUUCCAUUUGGCCCACAACAUUCAAACUUCAUAGGAUGAUUGUCCAUAUUGGGUAGAAGACCCCUAUUGAUUUUGGGGUCAAAGGUCAAGGUCACUAUGACCUUUAAACUGAAAACAGUUUCUAGAGCAUAACUUAAGUUCCAUUUGCCCCACAGUGUUCAAACUUCAUAGGAUGAUUGUCCAUAUUGGGUAGAAGACCCCUAUUGAUUUUGGGGUCACAAGGUCAAGGUCACUAUUACUUUAAAACUGAAAACAGUUUCCGGAACGUAACUUAAGUUCCAUUUGGCCCACAGUGUUGAAACUUCAUAGGAUGAUUGUUCCUAUUGGGUAGGAGACCCCUAUUGAUUUUGGGGUCACAAGGUCAAAGGUCAAGGUCACUGUUACUUUAAAACUGAAAACAGUUUCCAGAGCAUAACUUAAGGUCUAUUUGUCCCACAAUAUUCAAACUUCAGAGGAUGAUUGUCCAUAUUGGGUAGAACACCCCUAUUGAU